This 468-nucleotide ribosomal RNA is filed under the name uncultured bacterium. RNAcentral's name for it is "partial 16S ribosomal RNA". It matches the Rfam family "Bacterial small subunit ribosomal RNA", at positions 28 to 507 of the family's 1533-position model. The record is from RNAcentral.
GACGAACGCUGGCGGCGUGCUUAACACAUGCAAGUCGAACGGAAAGGCCCUGCUUUUGUGGGGUGCUCGAGUGGCGAACGGGUGAGUAACACGUGAGUAACCUGCCCUUGACUUUGGGAUACCUUAAGAAACUUGGGGCAAUUCCCGGAUAGGACUUCCGGCUGCAGGUGGGGGUUGGGAAGGUUUCGGCGGUUGGGGUUGACCUCGCGCCUUAUCAGCUUGUUGGUGGGGUAGUGGCUUACCAAGGCUUUGACGGGUAGCCGGCCUGAGAGGGUGACCGGCCACAUUGGGACUGAGAUACGGCCCAGACUCCUACGGGAGGCAGCAGUGGGGAAUAUUGCACAAUGGGCGGAAGCCUGAUGCAGCAACGCCGCGUGCGGGAUGACGGCCUUCGGGUUGUAAACCGCUUUCGCCUGUGACGAAGCGUGAGUGACGGUAAUGGGUAAAGAAGCACCGGCUAACUACGUG